GCGCCGAUAGUCUAAUGGCUAGGACCUCAGCCUUCCAAGCUGAUGAUCUGGGUUCGAAUCCCAGCUUGCAUAAGAAAAUCCCAGUCGGCGCACCA
RNAcentral lists this transfer RNA (95 nucleotides) under archaeon. RNAcentral describes it as "tRNA-Gly". It matches the Rfam family "tRNA". Rfam says of the family: Transfer RNA (tRNA) molecules are approximately 80 nucleotides in length. Their secondary structure includes four short double-helical elements and three loops (D, anti-codon, and T loops). The record is from RNAcentral.